RNAcentral lists this long non-coding RNA (338 nucleotides) under Salvia miltiorrhiza (redroot sage). RNAcentral describes it as "long non-coding RNA (SMIL_LNC003408)". Lineage: Eukaryota; Viridiplantae; Streptophyta; Magnoliopsida; Lamiales; Lamiaceae. The record is from RNAcentral.
AAAGAAUUCGAUCAAUCCAAAAUAGAUUAAAGAAUUAGAACAAUGAGAGAGAAAGUUUGCAUAAAUCCAAAACAGAGAGAAAGUUGGCAUAGAAAAUAAUGGUCUGAAAUGAAUUGAUAUUUAUAGGCUGAGUUUUCAGCAAAUUGGCUCUAAGAUUGCCUGUUUUUAUGUUUCAAAUUUUAUUUUGGGCGGCAGUUUUGGAGCCAGAAUUAAUUGAAGCAGCUGUAUAAAGCAGAAUGUAUCAAUUUUACUGCAAUAAAUUAUAUUUACCCAUUGGAUAAAUUUUGUAGCCAAAUACUCAGUGGAUAAAAGCAAGCCUUGCACUGGUGGGAAAAAAA